Molecule: RNA transcript, 4608 nt
Organism: Globicephala melas (long-finned pilot whale)
Lineage: Eukaryota; Metazoa; Chordata; Mammalia; Artiodactyla; Delphinidae
Gene: ARHGAP17
Gene name: Rho GTPase activating protein 17
Source: RefSeq, a predicted model, not a curated record
CGCCUCCGCCUCGGCCGCGAAGCGAUGUAGGAGCCGCCAGGCCGUCCCCCGUCCCGCCCGGCCUGAGCCCCGCGGGCCGCCGCCGCCGUCGCCAUGAAGAAACAGUUCAACCGCAUGAAGCAGCUGGCCAACCAGACCGUGGGCAGAGCCGAGAAAACAGAAGUCCUCAGUGAUGAUCUGUUACAGAUCGAGCGGCGCUUGGACACAGUGCGCUCCAUGUGUCACCAUUCCCACAAGCGCCUGGUGGCCUGCUUCCAGGGGCAGCACGGCACCGAUGCCGAGAGGAGACACAAAAAACUCCCUGUGACAGCUCUCGCUCAGAAUAUGCAAGAAGCAUCAACUCAGCUAGAAGACUCUCUCCUGGGGAAGAUGCUGGAGACGUGUGGAGAUGCUGAGAAUCAGCUGGCUCUGGAACUCUCUCAGCAUGAAGUCUUUGUCGAGAAGGAGAUCGUGGACCCUCUGUACGGCAUAGCAGAGGUAGAGAUUCCUAACAUCCAGAAACAGAGGAAGCAGCUCGCCAGAUUGGUUUUAGACUGGGACUCGGUCAGAGCCAGAUGGAACCAGGCUCACAAAUCUUCAGCAACCAACUUUCAGGGGCUUCCAUCAAAAAUAGAUACCCUAAAGGAAGAGAUGGAUGAAGCUGGAAAUAAAGUAGAACAGUGCAAGGAUCAACUUGCAGCGGAUAUGUACAAUUUUAUGGCCAAAGAAGGGGAGUAUGGCAAAUUUUUUGUUACGUUAUUAGAAGCUCAAGCAGAUUACCAUAGAAAAGCAUUAGCAGUCUUAGAAAAGGCCCUUCCCGAAUUGCGAGCCCAUCAAGAUAAGUGGGCAGAGAAGCCCGCCUUCGGGACGCCUUUGGAAGAACACCUGAAGCGGAGCGGGCGUGAGAUCGCGCUGCCCCUUGAGGCCUGCGUCAUGCUGCUCCUGGAGACGGGCAUGAAGGAGGAGGGCCUUUUCCGAAUUGGGGCUGGGGCCUCCAAGUUAAAGAAACUGAAAGCUGCUUUAGACUGUUCUACUUCUCACCUGGAUGAGUUCUACUCAGACCCCCAUGCUGUAGCAGGUGCUUUAAAGUCCUAUUUACGGGAACUGCCUGAACCUUUGAUGACUUUUAAUUUGUAUGAAGAAUGGACACAAGUUGCAAGUGUACAAGAUCAAGACAAAAAACUUCAGGAUUUGUGGAGAACAUGUCAGAAGUUGCCACCACAAAAUUUUGUUAACUUUAGGUAUUUAAUCAAGUUCCUUGCAAAGCUUGCUCAGACCAGUGACAUUAAUAAAAUGACUCCCAGCAACAUUGCAAUCGUGUUAGGCCCUAACUUGUUAUGGGCCAAAAAUGAAGGAACGCUAGCCGAAAUGGCAGCGGCCACAUCCGUCCACGUGGUUGCUGUCAUUGAACCCAUCAUUCAGCAUGCCAACUGGUUCUUCCCCGAAGAGGUGGAAUUUAAUGUAUCAGAAGCAUUCGUACCUCUCACCACCCCAAAUUCCAAUCACUCGUCCCACACUGGAAAUGACCCUGUCGACUCGGGGACCCUGGAGAGGAAGCGGCCUGCCAGCAUGGCGGUGAUGGAGGGGGACCUGGUGAAGAAGGAGAGCUUUGGUGUGAAGCUUAUGGACUUCCAGGCUCACCGGCGGGGUGGCACCCUAAAUAGAAAGCACAUAUCCCCUGCUUUCCAGCCGCCACUCCCGCCCACAGAUGGCAGCACCUUGGCUCCAGCGGGCCCAGAGCCCCCUCCCCAGAGCUCUAGGGCCGAAAGCAGCACAGGGGGUGGGACUGUCCCCUCCUCUGCGGGCAUGCUGGAGCAGGGGCCCAGCCCGGGCGACAGCAGUCCUCCAAAGCCCAAGGAUCCUGCGGCUGCACCUGCACCCGGGAGAAACAGCAGUCAGGCGGCCCCCGGCCAAAGCCAGGCCCAGGCCACUGCCGGCUCCCAUCAGCUCUCUGUGGGCCCUACGCACAAUUCCGCCGGCCCGAGCCCUCACACGGUGCGCCGAGCUGUUAAAAAACCUGCUCCAGCACCCCCGAAACCUGGAAACCCGCCUCCUGGCCAUCCCGGGGGCCAGAGUUCUCCAGGAGCAUCUCAGCAUCCACCCAGCCUGUCACCAAAGCCGUCCACCCGAAGCCCUUCUCCCCCAACUCAGCCGCCCGGCCAGGCCCCAGGCCAGCCCUGCGCCACCUCGCAGCUCUCCGCACCCCGGAGAUACUCCAGCAGCCUGCCUCCGAUCCAAGCCCCCAACCACCCGCCACCGCAGCCCCCCACGCAGGCCACACCGCCGCCAGCGCUCACCAAGCCAGGCAGCCAGGGCCCACCGGCUCCCGGGGCCCUGCCCGGUGAGCCCGGACUCGAGCAGUCCUCCCACACCCCUCCCCAGACGCCGACGCCCCCCAGCACUCCGCCCCUAGGAAAACAGAACCCCGGCCAGGUGGUGAGUAACCCCGAGACCGCGCAGCCACACGCUGGAACCUUGCCGAGACCAAGACCAGUACCAAAGCCGAGGAACCGGCCCAGCGUGCCCCCACCCCCUCAUCCUCCUGGCGCCCACCCCGCCGGGGAUGGCAGCCUCAGCAUCGCAGCUCCCACCUCCUCCAAAAUAGUCACAGAUGCCCUUCCUAGCGCCCUCACAGGUGGGGAAGGUUUCCAGGACUAAGGUCUGUAACCCCCCCAAGCAGCUUCCUGCAGCUCCAAAUGCUCCUGCUUAGCGGUGUUUUGCAUACAUGCUUUUGACUUUGUGCUCAGGAGCAGCCAUCUGACCCCGUGCCAUCCAUUCUCUAGACAUCACUUUUGUUUUUAUCAGAAGCACUUUGAGCUGCAAAUGCUUCGAAUUCAAGAGGUAGAUGUCAGUAGAUUGCAAGCCCGAUUUCAAGCCGCUCAGAUAAGAUACUAAGAAAUGUCUCCUUUCUUUUUGGUAAGCCUUUCACAAGCAUUCUGCUCUUUUCAGCGUGAUUUCCCUCUCAUUGAUUGGCUCAUCAGCAUCACCCAAAGAGGUCUCUGGUGCAGUUAGCACGGAAAAUUGCGUCCCUUGUGUCUUGAGCUUUAAGUUUUAAUUUUACCUCUUAAGUGCAAGUUAACUGCAUGGAGCUUCUUAAUUUGGUGUUUGAAUUUCUCAGGACCCCCCCCCCCCGCAAAAAAAAAAUCUUCCUCCAAAGAUCCCACACUAAAUUUCUUUGCAUUCUGGCGUGCUUACAUUUUUGCUUUCUUAAACCAUAUGAGCUUUUUGAAAGGUACUGUGAGGCUCAUCUGAAUCUUGCCUUUAGGUCCACACUUAGACGGAAUAAGGCUCUCGUUACUGCUCUAAUCAGCUGAUCUGAGCCUUAAGCCUUCAGUGGACUACUUAGCCGGCGUUUCCACAUCUUUGGUCUAGGAAGACUUUCUAUAGAUACCAGAAGAGGAAAACAAGAAUGCGAUCUUUACAACACAGAGGAGGGCACAGAGGCGUGAUUCCGCCUUCCUGACUCCUAGGUGAUGAACCCAAAAGUCUGUGGUUGCCCAGUUGGGUGUGAAAAUCACAGAGUGAAGUGACUAAACCCUAAUUAAGGCUGAGCCUUUUAACACUUCAAUACUUGUGACACAUCAGAAUUUUAUUCCCAGAUCUUCCCUUUUAUUUAGAUGAAAGACUACAGACCAGAAUUAUGUCUACUCUUUAAUACCAUGUUUACCUGGGGUGUAUUUAUUUCAGAAGCUUAUUUUAUUGAUCUGCUAUAACACUGCAGUGCUCUGUACUUUGACAGUUGCCAGAUAAGUGAAAUUUGAUAUUAUAAAUACUUUUCCUUAGGAUAUUAGCUAAAUAUUUUAAAACCAAUCUGUACUUCGAAUUCUCCUAACUCAAGAAAUUACAGGUCACCACCACUAUCUUUGUAUUACAGAAUUAAUUUUUAAUUUCUUAAAAUCCCCCGGAUUGCCAUUAGGAGUACACAAAAGGCCAGCGUUUAGAAUUUAUGAAUAUGCUCGUGUUGUUCAUGCUGCUCUUAGGCACCUUGGAUAUAGCCAUUGGGUAUUUCAAGAAGAAAAAAAUGUAACUUCCCUAGACAGGUAGUCCUUUAUUGUGACAUCAUGUUUUCACUUGGAAAGCUCUAGACAGACAAAUUCCUGAGAACAGGUUAUUCAUUCAGAGCAUUUAAUCUUAAAAAUUGAAUUAAGGCCUGGGGAUUAAGAGAAACUCUUGGGGGCGAUUACUGCUGCUAAACAGGUCAGACAGCCAGUUUGUCGCAGCUCAGCACCAGCACCAGAAAAAGGAGGGAUUCUGCUGUCAUUCUGAAUCUCUUCCUAGUUUGUUACUCUAGAAAGCAGUAGGAAAAAGAAAGGAAGAAAGAAAGAAAAAGAAAGCAGUAGGAGUUUAGCUUUGCAAGGAAAAGAGUUUGCAUCUUGCUGUUUUUAAAGUAAUAGAUUUUAGCCAAGAGUGUUCUAAUGUAACAUUUUAUUAAAUAAUUUAGAUGUAUGACCUGCCAUAUUCAGUAGGAACUGAAAUUGGAAUAUUUAAUGACGCCAAUUCUAGGGUUUCAGAACCGCUUCGCAGCAUCUUUCCUGAAACGCAUUCAGACUCAGCCAGCAAAGACCUGCCCGGCCGCAUUCUGUUGGACAUGGACAAUGAUACAGAAAGUACCGCCCUGUGAAGAAAGCC